Dreissena polymorpha is the source of this 685-nucleotide long non-coding RNA. RefSeq lists it as uncharacterized. NCBI's taxonomy places the organism in Eukaryota, Metazoa, Mollusca, Bivalvia, Myida, Dreissenidae. The transcript has 5 exons. The record is from RefSeq and is a predicted model, not a curated record.
GAAUCUUCAAAAAGGAGGUUUUCACUUUUGUCGGAAGUCAAUAUUUCACGCUGCAGAAACAGAACAAAACUUUGAAGACUGUGGUACUGUUUGACGUGGUCGCAGUUUAAAAGGGAGAACGAGUGGACCCCGAGAACGAUUACACGCAUUCAAGACAUCGUUAGCCACAGAAUCACCCAAUCGCACGACACUUUCCAGACUGUGGUACUGUUUGACGUGGUCGCAGUUUAAAAGGGAGAACGAGUGGACCCCGAGAACGAUUACACGCAUUCAAGACAUCGUUAGCCACAGAAUCACCCAAUCGCACGACACUUUCCAGACUGUGGUACUGUUUGACGUGGUCGCAGUUUAGAAGGGAGAACGAGUGGACCCCGAGAACGAUUACACGCAUUCAAGACAUCGUUAGCCACAGAAUCACCCAAUCGCACGACACUUUCCAGACUGUGGUACUGUUUGACGUGGUCGCAGUUUAAAAGGGAGAACGAGUGGACCCCGAGAACGAUUACACGCAUUCAAGACAUCGUUAGCCACAGAAUCACCCAAUCGCACGACACUUUCCAGGUCAGGGUCUGAAUUCAACGGAAUAGAAUCUUGAACUUGUUUCUCUACACAGGGCACAUGCCUGCAGAAACUUUAUAGUUUGGAAAUACUCCUUUUUUGAAAAGUACACCUUUGUUUUUCCUAG